This 466-nucleotide ribosomal RNA is filed under the name uncultured ammonia-oxidizing beta proteobacterium. RNAcentral describes it as "bacterial SSU rRNA". It matches the Rfam family "Bacterial small subunit ribosomal RNA", at positions 198 to 645 of the family's 1533-position model. The record is from RNAcentral. Lineage: Bacteria; Pseudomonadati; Pseudomonadota; Betaproteobacteria.
GGAGGAAAGCAGGGGAUCGUAAGACCUUGCGCUUUUGGAGUGGCCGAUGCCUGAUUAGCUAGUUGGUGGGGUAAGGGCCUACCAAGGCAACGACCAGUAGUUGGUCUGAGAGGACGACCAGCCACACUGGGACUGAGACACGGCCCAGACUCCUACGGGAGGCAGCAGUGGGGAAUUUUGGACAAUGGGCGAAAGCCUGAUCCAGCAAUGCCGCGUGAGUGAAGAAGGCCUUCGGGUUGUAAAGCUCUUUCAGUCGAGAAGAAAAGGUCGCGACUAAUAAUCGCGACUCAUGACGGUAUCGACAGAAGAAGCACCGGCUAACUACGUGCCAGCAGCCGCGGUAAUACGUAGGGUGCGAGCGUUAAUCGGAAUUACUGGGCGUAAAGGGUGCGCAGGCGGCUCUGUAAGUCAGAUGUGAAAUCCCCGGGCUUAACCUGGGAAUUGCGUUUGAAACUACAAGGCUAGA